GUAGGGAGGCCCAUUGAUUUUUGCCUUUGGUCGUACAUCAUCUUCUCCACCAUACCACGCGUCUCUCCAUCCAGAUCUGACAGCUGUUGAACAGGAAGCACGCACAGUGAGGAAGGAGCAGAAAGAUCCACACCUUUGACUGAAUAAUUCCACAGUGUGCCACACAUCUACACGUCUUCUUACCUUUUCCAAGUGGACAGUAACCACCUUGCCAUCAUCGAUGAGCCAGGAGCUCUCCUCUACCUUCACCUCGUUGUAGAGUUGGCCAUCAAUAACUGGAGGAUGUCCUUUCAGGCCCACUUUGAUGGAGCGCCGCUGGAUGUCCACAACUACAUCUUUGCCCUUAAUGCGAAAGUUCACACUAAA
Molecule: long non-coding RNA, 366 nt
Organism: Oreochromis niloticus (Nile tilapia)
Lineage: Eukaryota; Metazoa; Chordata; Actinopteri; Cichliformes; Cichlidae
Exons: 2
Source: RefSeq, a predicted model, not a curated record